Molecule: transfer-messenger RNA, 360 nt
Filed under: Candidatus Latescibacterota
Lineage: Bacteria; Pseudomonadati
Also listed under: 1 other name
Description: UBA12574 sp002712305 Standard tmRNA
Rfam family: transfer-messenger RNA
About the family: Bacterial tmRNA, also known as 10Sa RNA or SsrA, is named for its dual tRNA and mRNA-like properties. Its role is to liberate the mRNA from a stalled ribosome. To accomplish this part of the tmRNA is used as a reading frame that ends in a translation stop signal.
Source: RNAcentral
GGGGGCGACUUGGCUUCGACGGGGAUGGAGAUGUAGAGAGCGCGUGCCGAGGUCCCCGAAACCUCGUUAAAACCGGGAACAAAACUCAAACGCCGACGAUAACUCGUACGCGUUGGCCGCCUAAGNAAUUAGGUAGCCCGUGGGGGCUGAUGUUGCCUGCGACGCCAGCCCCCACGACAGCAAAGCAGGCUAGUCGAACACCCCCGUUCCAGGGUGUCCGGCGAAAACUAUGGAACUGGCCCUCUUUGGCUUUCGUCAGCCGGUGUCGGAGAGGGUGAGACAUCAUCGGGCUGACUACGCACGUAGUGGUCUCGUCGGAACUGUUCUCGGACGCGGGUUCGAUCCCCGCCGCCUCCACCA